UAAGAGCAGUGGGAAUGGGAA
RNAcentral lists this microRNA (21 nucleotides) under Zea mays. RNAcentral describes it as "microRNA miR-3002b". The record is from RNAcentral. Lineage: Eukaryota; Viridiplantae; Streptophyta; Magnoliopsida; Poales; Poaceae.